UGCCAGCCGCCGCGGUAAUACGGAGGGUGCGAGCGUUGUCCGGAUUUAUUGGGUUUAAAGGGUGCGUAGGCGGGAUCUUAAGUCAGUGGUGAAAUACUUCGGCUCAACCGGAGAGGUGCCAUUGAAACUGGGAUUCUUGAGUACAGACGAGGUAGGCGGAAUUUAUGGUGUAGCGGUGAAAUGCGUAGAGAUCGGAAGGAACACCAGUGGCGAAGGCGGCUUCCUGGCUAAACAUUGACGCUGAGGUGCGAAAGCGUGGGUAGCGAACAGGAUUAGAUA
RNAcentral lists this ribosomal RNA (279 nucleotides) under uncultured bacterium. RNAcentral describes it as "partial 16S ribosomal RNA". It matches the Rfam family "Bacterial small subunit ribosomal RNA", at positions 506 to 784 of the family's 1533-position model. The record is from RNAcentral.